Molecule: small RNA, 762 nt
Filed under: Pongo abelii (Sumatran orangutan)
Lineage: Eukaryota; Metazoa; Chordata; Mammalia; Primates; Hominidae
Description: retained intron
Source: RNAcentral
AGGGUGUCACCGACCACACACAGCGCCUGUCCAUUAUAACGAAGGACCUCUUCCAGGUAGAGUGAGGUCCUUAGCCGCUGCCCGGCGGGGGGAAGCAGGGUGCUGCUUCUCUUAUGGAACAACAUCGCCUCCUGCUCUUGUCCCAGGUGGCAUUUAACCGAGUGGCGCGAGGCAUGCUGCAUCAGGACCACAUCACCUUUGCCAUGCUGUUGGCGAGAAUCAAACUGAAGGGCACCGUGGGGGAGCCCACUUACGAUGCAGAAUUCCAGCACUUCUUGAGAGGAAAUGAGAUUGUCCUGAGUGCUGGCUCCACCCCCAGGAUCCAGGGCCUGACUGUGGAGCAGGCGGAGGCGGUGGUGAGGCUGAGCUGCCUUCCCGCGUUUAAGGACUUGAUUGCAAAGGUUCAGGCAGACGAGCAAUUUGGCAUCUGGCUGGACAGCAGCUCCCCGGAGCAGACCGUGCCCUACCUCUGGAGUGAAGAAACACCUGCAACACCCAUUGGCCAGGCCAUCCACCGCCUGCUCCUGAUCCAGGCUUUCCGGCCCGAUCGCCUGUUGGCCAUGGCCCACAUGUUUGUUUCAACAAACCUUGGGGAGUCUUUCAUGUCCAUCAUGGAGCAGCCGCUCGACCUGACCCACAUUGUGGGCACAGAGGUGAAGCCCAACACUCCUGUCUUAAUGUGCUCUGUGCCUGGUUAUGAUGCCAGUGGGCAUGUCGAGGACCUUGCAGCCGAGCAGAACACGCAGAUCACUUCAAUUGCAA